AGUACAGGAUGGACCCGCGUCUGAUUAGCUAGUUGGUAAGGUAACGGCUUACCAAGGCGACGAUCAGUAGCCGACCUGAGAGGGUGAUCGGCCACAUUGGAACUGAGACACGGUCCAAACUCCUACGGGAGGCAGCAGUGGGGAAUAUUGCACAAUGGGCGAAAGCCUGAUGCAGCAACGCCGCGCGAGUGAUGAAGGCCUUCGGGUCGUAAAACUCUGUCCUCAAGGAAGAUAAUGACGGUACUUGAGGAGGAAGCCCCGGCUAACUACGUGCCAGCAGCCGCGGUAAUACGUAGGGGGCUAGCGUUAUCCG
Molecule: ribosomal RNA, 313 nt
Filed under: Clostridioides difficile
Lineage: Bacteria; Bacillati; Bacillota; Clostridia; Peptostreptococcales; Peptostreptococcaceae
Description: bacterial SSU rRNA
Rfam family: Bacterial small subunit ribosomal RNA
Source: RNAcentral